Molecule: long non-coding RNA, 2443 nt
Filed under: Homo sapiens (human)
Lineage: Eukaryota; Metazoa; Chordata; Mammalia; Primates; Hominidae
Description: HSALNT0332053
Source: RNAcentral
GCAGGCAUAUGGCAUCUGGUAGUUCUGUUUCAUAACUGAUUUCCAUUUCAGCUUAGCUAUGAGCUCACAUUUGCCAAUGUAGUGUUCCAGACAGUUUUAUCAUCCACAUUGCUGACCUGGAAGAUGCAUCAUUGUCUAUGAUAUCUGCAAUGGAAAUGAUCACUAGGCAAUUUCAGCCUUGCAAAUCUAACUGUGGCGUGUGGAAAGAAGAGGAACCAGAAAAGAAUGUUUGUGAAGUUCUGGCUUGAAUCUCGUGCCGGGAGUGUGAAGAAGGUCCUUGCUUCCCCUUCACCUUCUGCCAUGAUUCUAAGUUUCCUGACGCCUCCCAGCCGUGCUUCCUGUUAAGCCUGUGAAACUAAAUUUGGGGGAUGCAUGCAACUUUUCCCUUGUCUGAAGUGAUAACUCUGCAUUCAUUCUUGACCACCAUUAAUCAUGCAUAGCUGUGCUCACUGAGGCAAUGUUUUUGAGCCAAUGGAUGAACAAGAUCUCAUUAGCACUGGUUUCCAUGGUUUAUCGCUCAUGGCCAAUGUCACACAGAAUUUUCAACCAGGAUGGGAACGCCCAGCAGCUGGAUGUCCAGCUGCCAAUUCAUCAAUUUGAGAACCUUUGGAAUGAGUACACAUCCAGGAGUGAAGAAGACAAGCUCAACUGCCAUUCUCUGAGCAGUUCAAGGCAUACUGAGUUGCGGGAGUUGUGUGGUGGUCCACUCUGACUGCAAGCACCCCUUUCUUGAACCGAACAGAGUCAAGUGGAAUCAAAGGACAUUACCUGUUGAUUCUUGGGCAAGGCCCAGAAUUUGGUGGACAUACUUAAAGAAGAAAGGAAUCUUCAGCUAAAGUGUCUACGAUCAAUUCAGAUUUGGAGGGCAUGGAUCUUCUGACAGUAGGGGCCAUUCUAGGAUUUUUUGGUUGAAGAGAUGAACUUCAACUUGGUUCCAGAUGGGUGGUCCAGCUAUUCUGCUGACAACAUUUUUCAGGGCAAGGCUUUUGCUACUGGAAUGAUUUAAGGAAGAUCCCUCAGUGUUUCAGAGUAAAGAUAUUUCUAAAGAAGUACCUGUGUCAUUGCCCAUCUUGAAGAUUGACUUUUAUGGAUUGCUCAAAUACUGAUAUCAGCUCAAUGUCAAUAUAUACUCCUACAUAUAAAAUCCAUCUUCUAAUCAUAAUCACUAGGUGGAUAUUGUUAUGCAAGGAAGAGAUGUGAAUAUACAGGAAAUGAGAUCCUUAAAGGGGUUGCCGUCCAGAUGUUAGAUCAAAGAGAUUAUGAUUCAUUCAACCAAGUCGCUGGACUUUUGAAGGCCUAUCCAAGUCAUGGUGCCUUUGAGGUUGCGCCUGUUACUAUUCAAAACUUGGUUUUAACCAUUUAAGGCCAUGAGGUGUGAGGUCUUUUGAGAGUGAAAGAACUCAUAUUAAUCCAGCUCCUGACUCCUAAAAAAACAGUAACUCUUGUAAUUAAAAUGGGCAGAGUCCAUCAAGAAGCAGUGUCCAGAAGCACUGGGCCAUGUGGCGAGCAGCAGUGUCACCAGGAAACAUGCCGAGCUGGGUCAGGAACUGCGCAAGGAGGAGGAGACACUGCUCCUGUUGAAGGCAGCCCUCGCAUGACCUGCUGAAUCACAUCAAGGUUGAAGCAUUGGCCCUCCAAUCAAUGAUUAGUUCUGGGAGAGGGGAUGAGGUGCUGUCUUCUCCAACUUCUCCAACUGUGCCUGAACAGUCACACGUCAUGUCAGUGCAUAUAGAGAAUGAAGCAUCAGUCAACCAAACUACGCUGGAGUGGAGCAUAGAGUCCUGUGACAGAAGAGGAGGAGGAAGAGAAAGAAGAAUCAGAUCCCUAAAGGAGGGAAAAAGCCAGGAUUCAUUAUACAAAUUAAAUUUCUAAGUCUCAGGCUCUUUCUCCCCAAGGAAAUCAUCUUGCCAUGAGCCCUAGGGCCUGCUUGAAUGGAGAGCAAGAACUAUAGGAGGAUGUGUAGCUGCAAAAAUUUCUCAUCAAUAACUCAAUCUUCAGAACGUUAUGACAUACAGAAAAUCAAAGAUGCUGUGUCUUAGCAUUGAGCAAUAUGGGUGGUGCUAUGUCUGUAGUCUGGUCAAAUUCAGUAACUGUGUUCAAAACAAAAUUUCCUCUGGAAUACUAUUGAGAAAAUCUGGCAUUUGCAAAAAGGGCAGAGUUUAAAUAUGAGCCAGUCUUUCCAAUCAACAAUACCUCUUUUAAGAAAACCAACUAACAGCUGUUUGCAUGCCGUUGAAUCCUUGUGAGCAGUUAGGCCACAGUCUAGGACAGAAAGAUGACACGGGGAAGGACUGAGGGCCAUCUGAGAACAAAAGUUGUUGCUACUUCUCAGAGGCAUUGAGACACACUGCAUGCUGUAGACUGCUUUGUGUAACUGUUGUCACAUCUUGCUUGAGAUGUCAUUGGCAGAAUGUUCUUAAAAAUAAAUUAUAGAUAAAUAGCC